RNAcentral lists this ribosomal RNA (819 nucleotides) under uncultured Actinomycetes bacterium. Its description in RNAcentral is "bacterial SSU rRNA". It matches the Rfam family "Bacterial small subunit ribosomal RNA", at positions 335 to 1167 of the family's 1533-position model. Lineage: Bacteria; Bacillati; Actinomycetota; Actinomycetes. The record is from RNAcentral.
ACUCCUACGGGAGGCAGCAGUGGGGAAUAUUGCACAAUGGGCGCAAGCCUGAUGCAGCAACGCCGCGUGAGGGACGACGGCCUUCGGGUUGUAAACCUCUUUUAGUAGGGAAGAAGCGAAAGUGACGGUACCUGCAGAAAAAGCACCGGCUAACUACGUGCCAGCAGCCGCGGUAAUACGUAGGGUGCAAGCGUUAUCCGGAAUUAUUGGGCGUAAAGAGCUCGUAGGCGGUUUGUCGCGUCUGCUGUGAAAACUGGAGGCUCAACCUCCAGCCUGCAGUGGGUACGGGCAGACUAGAGUGCGGUAGGGGAGAUUGGAAUUCCUGGUGUAGCGGUGGAAUGCGCAGAUAUCAGGAGGAACACCGAUGGCGAAGGCAGAUCUCUGGGCCGUAACUGACGCUGAGGAGCGAAAGCAUGGGGAGCGAACAGGAUUAGAUACCCUGGUAGUCCAUGCCGUAAACGUUGGGAACUAGAUGUAGGGACCAUUCCACGGUUUCUGUGUCGCAGCUUACGCAUUAAGUUCCCCGCCUGGGGAGUACGGCCGCAAGGCUAAAACUCAAAGGAAUUGACGGGGGCCCGCACAAGCGGCGGAGCAUGCGGAUUAAUUCGAUGCAACGCGAAGAACCUUACCAAGGCUUGACAUAUACCGGAAAAGUGCAAAAAUGUACUCCCCGCAAGGUCGGUAUACAGGUGGUGCAUGGUUGUCGUCAGCUCGUGUCGUGAGAUGUUGGGUUAAGUCCCGCAACGAGCGCAACCCUCGUUCUAUGUUGCCAGCACGUAAUGGUGGGAACUCAUAGGAGACUGCCGGGGUCAACUCGGA